UCCAAGCUUACUGAGUUAGAGUCCUUGUGAGUGACUCGAAUGCAAAUUCGUUGAAUUUUUGUAUGUUUUUUCCUAUCCUCCACUUGGAUUGUAGUGAUUUGAGUUUGUUGUGUCAAGGAUUUAUCAAAUAACAGCUUAAUUGGGGAGAUACCUGUUUUUCUGGUAGAAAACCUGCCAUCGCUUAGAGUCCUAAACUUGCAGAAUAACAACCUCAUAGGUCUAAUUCCAAAUGCACUUCUCCAAAAGUCAAGUGAAGGUGUACUAUCACUUAGGUUGGGGCAAAAUUCAAAUCUAUGUGAAUCUGGUCCUUGUGAC
This is a non-coding RNA of Arachis ipaensis, 315 nucleotides long. The record is from RefSeq and is a predicted model, not a curated record. Lineage: Eukaryota; Viridiplantae; Streptophyta; Magnoliopsida; Fabales; Fabaceae.